AGAUUAUUCUGAGAUCAUGAAGAAUGAUGGAAGCAAUAAAUGGAAGGAGCCUGGGUCCCUGAAAACAUGAAGGAGAGCAUUCUUAACAGCCUUCAACUUGAAUUAGACUAUGACAUGAGCAAGAAAAGUCAGAGAAAGGAUUGUGCUGUGCUCAGGAAUGUGGAACUCAAAAGCAUGCAAGUUUGCUGCCAUUCUUGGAGUACUGCAUAUAUGUACCUGGAUUAAAACGUGGAAUCUUCUGGCCACUCCAUUACUGAAACAUUGUCUUGUUCCAGGCAAUUAUACUUAAGGGGAGGUGUUCCCAACCCUGGAAAACAGAAAUUACUACAAAACAACUUAGUACAAACUCCAUUUGCUCCAUGCAGUGAAAAGAAACAAGGAAGAUCAAGCAAGCAAGCAUGACUUCACACAUGGAGAAUGCAGGACUAGGAGAUGGCUACAACUUUGCUCCUGGUUGAACUCUGGAGCUUCUGGUGGUACCUGUAUAUUUCACCCAAAGUGACAGGGACCUUGUUAGCCGUCCUUGCAUUGAAGACCUUGAUGGAUUGAACUCCUGGGGAGAAUGUGUCGGCCGUGAUCUGCCAUAAAGAUGAUGAAUAACAUUUUUUUUUCUUAAAUGAUUACCUAAAACUUUACAGCUAGCCAAAGCUGGCUUUCUCAGAGCCCCUGGAGGAGAGCUUUUAUAAAGUGUCAUUUAAUUAAUAAAGGGGUUAUUGAUUUCUGUCUUGCAUGGAGUACUGCACACAGGCUAGGUAAGAGAAAGGCUAGGACUAAGAAUAAACCUGGGGUGCAACUUCCAUUAAAAUAAGACCUUUCAGAAGACUCUAUGGUCAAAGUCGCCAACCUCAGGGGACAUUAAGAAAAGCAAAGGGUAUUACUAUUGAUAACCUGAUUGGAAAGCUUCACAUUGUCAUUUGAAUUUAAAAGAACAUUGUGUGAUGUAAUGGGUGGUUUUCCUUAUGGAAGAGAUGCAAGACAGUAUUCGUCAGAUAAAUGCUGAACUUCA
Long non-coding RNA from Mus musculus (house mouse), 1006 nucleotides. RefSeq annotates it as predicted gene, 34998. NCBI's taxonomy places the organism in Eukaryota, Metazoa, Chordata, Mammalia, Rodentia, Muridae. The transcript has 3 exons. The record is from RefSeq and is a predicted model, not a curated record.